Non-coding RNA from Schistosoma rodhaini, 45 nucleotides. NCBI's taxonomy places the organism in Eukaryota, Metazoa, Platyhelminthes, Trematoda, Strigeidida, Schistosomatidae. The record is from Rfam.
AUCCAGCUGACGAAUCCUGAAUGAGACGAAACGCGCGUCCUGGAU